Molecule: transfer RNA, 74 nt
Filed under: Ailuropoda melanoleuca (giant panda)
Lineage: Eukaryota; Metazoa; Chordata; Mammalia; Carnivora; Ursidae
Source: Rfam by way of RNAcentral
ACCCGGCUGGCUCAGUCGGUGGAGCAGGUGACUCUUGAUCUCAGGGGCUGUGAGUUUAAGUCUCAGGUUGGGUG